CCCGGGCCUUGUACACACCGCCCGUCACACCAUGGGAGUUGGUUUUACCUUAAGACGGUGCGCUAACCGCAAGGAAGCAGCCGGCCACGGUAAGGUCAGCGACUGGGGUG
RNAcentral lists this ribosomal RNA (110 nucleotides) under uncultured bacterium. Its description in RNAcentral is "partial 16S ribosomal RNA". It matches the Rfam family "Bacterial small subunit ribosomal RNA", at positions 1373 to 1482 of the family's 1533-position model. The record is from RNAcentral.